AAAUUGGUGACCUUCCAGAAAGU
RNAcentral lists this non-coding RNA (23 nucleotides) under Arabidopsis thaliana (thale cress). The record is from RNAcentral. Lineage: Eukaryota; Viridiplantae; Streptophyta; Magnoliopsida; Brassicales; Brassicaceae.